Oncorhynchus masou masou (cherry salmon) is the source of this 387-nucleotide long non-coding RNA. RefSeq lists it as uncharacterized. NCBI's taxonomy places the organism in Eukaryota, Metazoa, Chordata, Actinopteri, Salmoniformes, Salmonidae. The transcript is spliced from 3 exons. The record is from RefSeq and is a predicted model, not a curated record.
CACACACACAGUUACAGUGUGAGGAGAAUGAAGGCACUGUGCUUGUGCCCACUUUGAGCCUAAACAAUGAUUGAACUCACGGGAAAUAGACUAAAUCCACCCCUCGUAUCAGUGCUGUGGGACUUACAGAUACCCCCGAGGAUUGGCCUGAAGAGACAGAUGGUCGCAGUUGUAGAUGAGAACUUGUUCUCUAUUGCCUACCUGGUUAAAUAAAGAGCAUCAUUGUGUUGACCUGCCCUUCAGAUGAGAGCGAAAGAGAGCUGAAUGUACAGGAGUCCACUCAUGCAUUUUAGACCAUGGGUAAAUUAUUAAGUGGUCAAGUCUGGAUCGCCAGGAGACAGGCAGUUCAAUGGAAACAUCUCGCCUCCCUUCUCGUGUGUAUCUGCC